Non-coding RNA from Glossina brevipalpis, 81 nucleotides. Lineage: Eukaryota; Metazoa; Arthropoda; Insecta; Diptera; Glossinidae. The record is from Rfam.
UAGGUUUAGUACGUAGGCGCCAUUAAUGUCGAAUCGUGCAUGCUGCUGGUACGGGCCGAUAGUAUCUUUGAAAGAUUUCUA